This 253-nucleotide ribosomal RNA is filed under the name uncultured bacterium. Its description in RNAcentral is "partial 16S ribosomal RNA". It matches the Rfam family "Bacterial small subunit ribosomal RNA", at positions 524 to 776 of the family's 1533-position model. The record is from RNAcentral.
UACGGAGGGUGCGAGCGUUGUCCGGAAUCACUGGGCGUAAAGGGCGCGUAGGCGGCGCGGGGAGUCAACGGUGAAAGCUCGGCGCUCAACGCCGAGUCGGCUGUCGAUACUCCCGUGCUCGAGCACUGUAGAGGCAGGUGGAAUUCCGGGUGUAGCGGUGGAAUGCGUAGAGAUCCGGAAGAACACCGGUGGCGAAGGCGGCCUGCUGGGCAGUAGCUGACGCUGAGGCGCGACAGCGUGGGGAGCAAACAGG